Molecule: ribosomal RNA, 468 nt
Filed under: uncultured bacterium
Lineage: Bacteria
Description: partial 16S ribosomal RNA
Rfam family: Bacterial small subunit ribosomal RNA
Source: RNAcentral
GACGAACGCUGGCGGCGUGCUUAACACAUGCAAGUCGAACGGAAAGGCCCUGCUUUUGUGGGGUGCUCGAGUGGCGAACGGGUGAGUAACACGUGAGUAACCUGCCCUUGACUUUGGGAUAACUUCAGGAAACUGGGGCAAAUACCGGAUAGGAGCUCCUGCUGCAUGGUGGGGGUUGGAAAGUUUCGGCGGUUGGGGAUGGACUCGCGGCUUAUCAGCUUGUUGGUGGGGUAGUGGCUUACCAAGGCUUUGACGGGUAGCCGGCCUGAGAGGGUGACCGGCCACAUUGGGACUGAGAUACGGCCCAGACGCCUACGGGAGGCAGCAGUGGGGAAUAUUGCACAAUGGGCGGAAGCCUGAUGCAGCAACGCCGCGUGCGGGAUGACGGCCUUCGGGUUGUAAACCGCUUUCGCCUGUGACGAAGCGUGAGUGACGGUAAUGGGUAAAGAAGCACCGGCUAACUACGUG